RNAcentral lists this ribosomal RNA (1515 nucleotides) under Triticum aestivum (bread wheat). Its description in RNAcentral is "partial small subunit ribosomal RNA". Lineage: Eukaryota; Viridiplantae; Streptophyta; Magnoliopsida; Poales; Poaceae. The record is from RNAcentral.
AUGACAAGUGGCUGGGUUGGAUGGAAUCUAUCUUUGGUUCCGGUGUCUUCUGUCUUACUCAAUGGGGUUCCUGGCAGAAAAUUCCAAUGCAAAUGCGGGAUGCACCAGGGCGACCCCCUCUCUCCUCUGAUUUUUGUCCUCGCUGCUGAUCUUCUCCAAGCCGCAGUCAAUGAAUCUUUUGCUCGUGGAUUGAUUGAUCUACCCAUCCCAUGCAAUCACGACGGGGAUUAUCCGGUGGUGCAGUACGCAGACGAUACCAUUCUGGUGAUGCAUGCCUGCCCUGACCAAGCUGCCCGUAUGAAAACAAUCCUAGAGGAUUAUGCAGCAUCUGUUGGUCUGAAAACUAAUUUUCAUAAAUCCACGCUUAUACCCAUUAACCUUGAUCAACAACGCGCACUUGACCUGGCUCACAUUUUCAGUUGCUCGAUUGGAUCUAUGCCGUUCACAUACCUUGGCCUCCCCAUGGGCACGACCAAGCCGACGCUACUUGAUCUCAUGCCGUUGGUGCAUGGGGCGGAAAGGAAAAUGUCAACGGCUCUUUCGUUAAUGUCAUCGGGGGCCAAGCUCACCUUGGUCAAUUCUACAGUCACCUCCAUGUUGAUCUACGCCAUGUGCAUGAUCAAGCCGCACCCAAAAGUGAUUGAGCACCUUGACAAGCUACGCAUGUACUGUCUUUGGGCGAAGAACUCUGAUGAUGGCGUCAAAAAUAAUUCCCUCGCUGCUUGGGAAUUGGUCUGUAGACCCAAAAGUAAAGGGGGGCUUGGAGUCAUCGAUAUCAAAACCCAGAACAUUGCCCUCCUUCUGAAACAUUUGUUUAAGUUUUACAACCACCACAAUGUCCCCUCGGUGACCUUGAUCUGGGACACAUAUUACUCUGACAGAAUUCCACAUGCAGUGGAACCGUUGGGUUCUUUCUGGUGGCGUGAUGUUAUGCAGCUCAGAGAUGUGUUCCGCGGGGUUACCAAGGUCGCUCCGGGCAAUGGCUCCUCAUCUCUGUUUUGGAAAGAUGCAUGGUUCGAUGAUCGUUACGCCCCUCUGAUGGAGAUCUACCCUAGAGCUUUCUCUUUCUGCCUGAAUGAAGACGAGCCAGUGGUUAAUAUUCUCACUGCCACUGACCCAAGCUUGAUCUUCCACCUGCCUCUCUCCACGCAAGCUAGAGAGGAAAUCGGAGAAAUCCAACAUGGGUCCAUGCAUGUCCUGCUUGACAGAGAUUGCAACGACACAUGGGUUUGCAACCUUGGUGGAUCUUUCUCCUCCAAGAGAUACUAUGAUCACUCUUUCAGGGAUACGGUUGCUGAUGUGGCCUUUGGAUGGCUGUGGAAGGCCAAGAGCCCAAUCAAGUUUAAAAUGUUUGGUUGGCUGCUGGUGGUCGAUCGAUUGAACACUAGGAAUAUGCUGAAACGCCGACAUUUUGCUGUGAUCAGGAACAACUACGCGUGCAUGCUUUGUCAAAACCCUCAUGAGGAAACGGUCAAGCAUCUCUUCUUCAACUGCCCGUUUAGCCGCCAUUGUUGA